This 263-nucleotide ribosomal RNA is filed under the name uncultured bacterium. RNAcentral describes it as "partial 16S ribosomal RNA". It matches the Rfam family "Bacterial small subunit ribosomal RNA", at positions 524 to 786 of the family's 1533-position model. The record is from RNAcentral.
UACGUAGGUGGCGAGCGUUGUCCGGAAUUACUGGGCGUAAAGGGCGUGUAGGCGGGAAUUUAAGUCAGAUGUGAAAACCCCGGGCUUAACUUGGGGACUGCAUUUGAUACUGGAUUUCUUGAGGACAGGAGAGGAAAGCGGAAUUCCUAGUGUAGCGGUGAAAUGCGUAGAUAUUAGGAGGAACACCAGUGGCGAAGGCGGCUUUCUGGACUGUAACUGACGCUGAGGCGCGAAAGCGUGGGGAGCGAACGGGAUUAGAUACC